Molecule: ribosomal RNA, 617 nt
Filed under: uncultured bacterium
Lineage: Bacteria
Description: bacterial SSU rRNA
Rfam family: Bacterial small subunit ribosomal RNA
Source: RNAcentral
UAAAGAAUUUCGGUCAUCGAUGGGGAUGCGUUCCAUUAGCUUGUUGGCGGGGUAACGCCCCACCAAGGCAUCGAUGGAUAGGGGUUCUGAGAGGAAGGUCCCCCACAUUGGAACUGAGACACGGUCCAAACUCCUACGGGAGGCAGCAGUGAGGAAUAUUGGUCAAUGGGCGCUAGCCUGAACCAGCCAAGUAGCGUGAAGGAUGACUGCCCUAUGGGUUGUAAACUUCUUUUAUAUGGGAAUAAAGUGCAGUAUGUAUACUGCUUUGCAUGUACCUUAUGAAUAAGGAUCGGCUAACUCCGUGCCAGCAGCCGCGGUAAUACGGAGGAUCCGAGCGUUAUCCGGAUUUAUUGGGUUUAAAGGGAGCGUAGGCGGGUUGUUAAGUCAGUUGUGAAAGUUUGCGGCUCAACCGUAAAAUUGCAGUUGAUACUGGCAUCCUUGAGUACAGUAGAGGUAGGCGGAAUUCGUGGUGUAGCGGUGAAAUGCUUAGAUAUCACGAAGAACUCCGAUUGCGAAGGCAGCCUGCUGGACUGUAACUGACGCUGAUGCUCGAAAGUGUGGGUAUCAAACAGGAUUAGAUACCCUGGUAGUCCACACAGUAAACGAUGAAUACUCGC